AUUGAACGCUGGCGGCAGGCUUAACACAUGCAAGUCGAGCGGGGGAAGGUAGCUUGCUACUGGACCUAGCGGCGGACGGGUGAGUAAUGCUUAGGAAUCUGCCUAUUAGUGGGGGACAACAUCUCGAAAGGGAUGCUAAUACCGCAUACGUCCUACGGGAGAAAGCAGGGGAUCUUCGGACCUUGCGCUAAUAGAUGAGCCUAAGUCGGAUUAGAUAGUUGGUGGGGUAAAGGCCUACCAAGGCGACGAUCUGUAGCGGGUCUGAGAGGAUGAUCCGCCAAACUGGGACGGAGACACGGCCCAGACUCCUACGGGAGGCAGCAGUGGGGAAUAUUGGACAAUGGGGGGAACCCUGAUCCAGCCAUGCCGCGUGUGUGAAGAAGGCCUUAUGGUUGUAAAGCACUUUAAGCGAGGAGGAGGCUACUCUAGUUAAUACCUAGGGAUAGUGGACGUUACUCGCAGAAUAAGCACCGGCUAACUCUGUGCCAGCAGCCGCGGUAA
RNAcentral lists this ribosomal RNA (501 nucleotides) under uncultured bacterium. RNAcentral describes it as "partial 16S ribosomal RNA". It matches the Rfam family "Bacterial small subunit ribosomal RNA", at positions 30 to 523 of the family's 1533-position model. The record is from RNAcentral.